GUGCCUUUAGCUCAGUUGGUUAGAGCGUCGGAUUGUGGUUCCGAAGGUCAAGGGUUCGAGACCCCUAAGGCACC
Molecule: transfer RNA, 74 nt
Filed under: Muribaculaceae bacterium
Lineage: Bacteria; Pseudomonadati; Bacteroidota; Bacteroidia; Bacteroidales; Muribaculaceae
Description: tRNA-His
Rfam family: tRNA
About the family: Transfer RNA (tRNA) molecules are approximately 80 nucleotides in length.
Source: RNAcentral